RNAcentral lists this transfer RNA (65 nucleotides) under Peroryctes raffrayana (Raffray's bandicoot). RNAcentral's name for it is "tRNA-Cys". Lineage: Eukaryota; Metazoa; Chordata; Mammalia; Peramelemorphia; Peroryctidae. The record is from RNAcentral.
GGCUUUGAAGUAUAUAUUACGUUGAAUUGCAAAUUCAAAGAAACAGUUAAAUACUGUCAGGGCUU